Cebus imitator (Panamanian white-faced capuchin) is the source of this 1415-nucleotide long non-coding RNA. RefSeq lists it as uncharacterized. Lineage: Eukaryota; Metazoa; Chordata; Mammalia; Primates; Cebidae. The transcript has 6 exons. The record is from RefSeq and is a predicted model, not a curated record.
GCUCAUUUGUUCUUUUCGAUCCUAAGAAAUAUUAGAAGGUUAAAUAACUUAUCACAUACGAGGGAUUAAUCAUACUGCCAAAAUUAGAAUGUGUGUAGUUCUGAGGGACUGAAUGUCAAAAUUGUAUGCUCAUUGCACUAAAACUAUUGGGGAUCUAGGAAAUCACAAGAGCGUUUAAAAUGGCAGCUAAGGUCUGUGGAAACCCUUCAUGUUUAGAAACUGGCUAAAGCUUGAUAUCUCUUCUCUUUUGGUUAAGGGCACCACUCUCAGAUAAAAACAUAGACCUGAAUGGCAUCAUCCAGUAUCCAAGGAAACCAUGAUUAAAAUGUUAGCUAGGAGAGACCAGAGCAGUGCAUAGUCUACCUCAUUUCCCACUACUGAGGUUUUACCUAAUUGCAUAUGAAUUAAGAGAUUUUCCAUUCUGACUGGUGACAAAAGGCCUAUUUCCAGCCCUAGGAAGGUGCCAGGUAGGCUUUUUCUUGCCUUUGGAAAACAUAAAUCUCUUACCAGAGAUAUGAAAUAUUCAGCUGAAUUGAUUUAUGGCCUGGUAAAGGUCUUUUCAUGCUCUGCAAUGACAAUAUUUUUACAAAACCUACAGGUCACCAAUUUACUUGGUUCUUAAAAGCUUUACUGCAUCAUAUAAGAAUCAAAGUGGAGGGGUCAUGCCAAGUCCUUACUCAGAAGGAGAAGGUAAUGGAAGAGAUGCAGAACACUCAGGCAAGUUCUCUAGUUUAUAUACAGCUUGUCCUAGGCCAUUUUAUAAUGGCAUCUGCUGAGACCACAUCCUACUGGGUCAUUUAACUUUUCAAAUUUUGCUUCACAUUGAGAAAUCCUUGUAGUCCUGUGCAACUCACAGAAAUAUGCCAAUAAAUGUCUUCACCAAAACCAACUUCCUGGAAAUAAUAAUUUUCUUUGUUUUUGCAAAAGAUUUUUUUUUUUUGUCCUUCAGUAGAUGAUCUAUCUAGGGAUCCCAGCAAGUGAUCCUAAGAGAAAAUAUAUUCUGUUUCAUCCAGGUUCAGGCUAAAUUGCUGGGACAGCUGCUUUCUUUGACCUCCUCUCGACUUUGCUGACCACAUCACCAACUGGCAGGGUGUGGUGCCUUAAGACCUUCCAAAAGACUUGCUUCCAAAUGGAAAUAAUGGAGUAACAUUUUAUAUGAUCAAACAUGAGAGAAUUCCAGUAAUUUUAAGCAUUUUAAGGUACAUUCAGCAUAUUGCUCAAAUGAUUACUAAAAUUUUGCAUCUGAAAAGCAGUCAAUCCCACAUUGAAACUGCUUGUAGAAUACACGAUUCAGAGAGUGGUCAUUGGUUAAUGACAGCAACAGAAGGAAGCCCUGGGAGCCAUCUAGCAGGGAACCCCUUUUCUUCCAGAAAGUAAUACAUCUAAGCUCUCCUCUGUAGAAGACUGUUUUGUCU